UACGUAGGGGGCUAGCGUUGUCCGGAUUUAUUGGGCGUAAAGAGCGCGUAGGCGGCCGAGUAAGUCCGACGUGAAAUCUGGAGGCUCAACCUCCAGCGGUCGUUGGAAACUACUCGGCUAGAGUCCGGAAGAGGAGAGUGGAAUUCCUGGUGUAGCGGUGAAAUGCGCAGAUAUCAGGAAGAACACCGAUGGCGAAAGCAGCUCUCUGGGCAGUAACUGACGCUGAGGAGCGAAAGCGUGGGGAGCGAACAGG
RNAcentral lists this ribosomal RNA (253 nucleotides) under uncultured bacterium. RNAcentral describes it as "partial 16S ribosomal RNA". It matches the Rfam family "Bacterial small subunit ribosomal RNA", at positions 524 to 776 of the family's 1533-position model. The record is from RNAcentral.